Long non-coding RNA from Hibiscus syriacus, 207 nucleotides. RefSeq lists it as uncharacterized. The record is from RefSeq and is a predicted model, not a curated record. The transcript has 2 exons. NCBI's taxonomy places the organism in Eukaryota, Viridiplantae, Streptophyta, Magnoliopsida, Malvales, Malvaceae.
GAGAAAACAGUUUCUUCGCUCUACAAUGCAAUUGACGACGUAAAUUGCUUGAGAAGCGACAGAUCAAAAAAGAAAAACAAGAAACUGAAAUUCGAAAAGAAGUUACCUGAAGUGGAAAACACAGAAAGGCAGCUGAAAGAGACGAAGCGGGAUUCUUAUCGAACUCCUGUGAAGCAAAGGAUCAAAAGAAAUUCUUCAUUAUAAACU